GUAUCUUGCGGGAGAUCCCUGUGUACCUGAGGCCUUCUGAAGACCCUUGCUGAUGCCAGAGGCUGGAACACUUCCUUGGCUUGGAUGCUUUUCUAGUGUGGAGUCCUGUUGUAUGCUUUAAGGAAAGCAGCGUAAGAGAUAAGUGACUGGUGUAUCGGGGAUCUUGAACCAAAAUUUGCUGAAGUAAAUGGAAAGGCUCCCAUCAUCUGUAGUCAAUUUAGGGACCAGGCCCAGAAUGGCAAAGCUGCUGUUAGAAGAUCAUUUUUUUUGCAAAAUGUAAUAAUGGGGACAUCUGUAGAACUUGUGAAACUGAGUGUAGCUGUCCAUAAAAUGUCUACAUUCUGUAGGUGUGAGGGCCUGGGAAUGCUUUGUGCUUCAUCCAUCUGCUUCUUCAUUAGCUCCAGCUUUGAAAUAAAAUCACACAUCUUUAGUAGGCUGGGAACCAGAUGACAGUAAGAGUAGAAUCUACUAUCUGAAAUAACCUUGCUGCUGCUUUUUUUUAAAAAAUUUUUUGGCUUCUUAUGUGCAGUAAAUAAUUUGCUUGCAUUUUCUAUUCUUGUGCUAUCUCAAGAAAAUAGUUUAUAUACUGUAUGUUAGAUAUAAAUACUUUGCAUUUCAUACUGUCGUAAUAGUACAGUAUUUACCUUUUCUUUAUCCCUGUUGUUUUUUUAAAGAUUGACGGACCUGCAUCAUAUAGCUCAUUUAAUGCCUGAUGUACUCUUUGAUUACAAACAUCAUUUCUGUGGUGUGUUUGCAAAGGAUUAUUUCUUAAAUCUAUGUCAUAAGUAUAUUGGAAAUAAAAUGCAAAUCGUGGAUCACAGACAAAUUGGUUCCCAGGUGAAUCUUUUAAUGAUAUUGAUGAAAAUGUUGCUUACUUUACCAUUCACUGGAAAUAAAUCUUAACUGAAACGAUCAGCGUUUCUCACAAACACUGUCAGCUCUUAGUUUUCCUCAAAACU
Molecule: long non-coding RNA, 959 nt
Organism: Numida meleagris (helmeted guineafowl)
Lineage: Eukaryota; Metazoa; Chordata; Aves; Galliformes; Numididae
Exons: 3
Source: RefSeq, a predicted model, not a curated record